This 492-nucleotide ribosomal RNA is filed under the name uncultured bacterium. RNAcentral describes it as "partial 16S ribosomal RNA". It matches the Rfam family "Bacterial small subunit ribosomal RNA", at positions 29 to 507 of the family's 1533-position model. The record is from RNAcentral.
AGUGAACGCUGGCGGUAGGCCUAACACAUGCAAGUCGAACGGCAGCACAGUAAGAGCUUGCUCUUACGGGUGGCGAGUGGCGGACGGGUGAGGAAUACAUCGGAAUCUACUUUUUCGUGGGGGAUAACGUAGGGAAACUUACGCUAAUACCGCAUACGACCUACGGGUGAAAGCAGGGGAUCUUCGGACCUUGCGCGAUUGAAUGAGCCGAUGUCGGAUUAGCUAGUUGGCGGGGUAAAGGCCCACCAAGGCGACGAUCCGUAGCUGGUCUGAGAGGAUGAUAGGCCACACUGGAACUGGGACACGGACCAGACUCCUGCGGGAGGCAGCAGUGGGGAAUAUUGGACAAUGGGCGCAAGCCUGAUCCAGCCAUACCGCGUGGGUGAAGAAGGCCUUCGGGUUGUGAAGCCCUUUUGUUGGGAAAGAAAAGCAGCAGGUUAAUACCCCGCUGUUCUGACGGUACCCAAAGAAUAAGCACCGGCUAACUUCGUG